CAGUAGCCGCGGUAAUACGUAGGUGGCAAGCGUUGUCCGGAAUUAUUGGGCGUAAAGGGCUCGCAGGCGGUUUCUUAAGUCUGAUGUGAAAGCCCCCGGCUCAACCGGGGAGGGUCAUUGGAAACUGGGAAACUUGAGUGCAGAAGAGGAGAGUGGAAUUCCACGUGUAGCGGUGAAAUGCGUAGAGAUGUGGAGGAACACCAGUGGCGAAGGCGGCCCGCUGGACAUGUAUUGACGCUGAGGUGCGAAAGCGUGGGGAGCAAACAGGAUUAGAUACCCCAGUAGUCCCUGUCUCUUAUAA
Molecule: ribosomal RNA, 301 nt
Filed under: uncultured bacterium
Lineage: Bacteria
Description: partial 16S ribosomal RNA
Rfam family: Bacterial small subunit ribosomal RNA
Source: RNAcentral